RNAcentral lists this non-coding RNA (38 nucleotides) under unclassified sequences. RNAcentral's name for it is "DUF805b RNA". It matches the Rfam family "DUF805b RNA". From Rfam's summary of the family: Bacteroidetes, Chlorobi (1 example), Proteobacteria. The record is from RNAcentral.
GUGGAGAAAACCGAAAAUCCAAAAUAACAGAGUAGGUA